This 109-nucleotide small nuclear RNA is filed under the name Balaenoptera musculus (blue whale). Lineage: Eukaryota; Metazoa; Chordata; Mammalia; Artiodactyla; Balaenopteridae. The record is from RNAcentral.
AUGUGCUCACUUCUGCAACAUAUAUACUAAAAUUGGAACGAUAAAGAGAAGAUUAGCAUGGCCCCUGCCCAAGGAUGACAUGCAAAUUCAUGAAGUGUUUCAUAUUUUA